RNAcentral lists this ribosomal RNA (587 nucleotides) under uncultured bacterium. RNAcentral's name for it is "bacterial SSU rRNA". It matches the Rfam family "Bacterial small subunit ribosomal RNA", at positions 338 to 916 of the family's 1533-position model. The record is from RNAcentral.
CCUACGGGAGGCAGCAGUGGGGAAUUUUGGACAAUGGACGCAAGUCUGAUCCAGCCAUUCCGCGUGCAGGACGAAGGCCUUCGGGUUGUAAACUGCUUUUGUACGGAACGAAAAAGCUCUUAUUAAUACUAGGAGUCCAUGACGGUACCGUAAGAAUAAGCACCGGCUAACUACGUGCCAGCAGCCGCGGUAAUACGUAGGGUGCAAGCGUUAAUCGGAAUUACUGGGCGUAAAGCGUGCGCAGGCGGUUAUAUAAGACAGAUGUGAAAUCCCCGAGCUUAACUUGGGAACUGCAUUUGUGACUGUAUAGCUAGAGUACGGCAGAGGGGGAUGGAAUUCCGCGUGUAGCAGUGAAAUGCGUAGAUAUGCGGAGGAACACCGAUGGCGAAGGCAAUCCCCUGGGCCUGUACUGACGCUCAUGCACGAAAGCGUGGGGAGCAAACAGGAUUAGAUACCCUGGUAGUCCACGCCCUAAACGAUGUCAACUGGUUGUUGGGUCUUCACUGACUCAGUAACGAAGCUAACGCGUGAAGUUGACCGCCUGGGGAGUAACGGCCGCAAGGUUGAAACUUCAAAGGAAUUGACGG